RNAcentral lists this non-coding RNA (23 nucleotides) under Arabidopsis thaliana (thale cress). The record is from RNAcentral. Lineage: Eukaryota; Viridiplantae; Streptophyta; Magnoliopsida; Brassicales; Brassicaceae.
CUUAUGAGGGGCAGCUAGCUGUA